UGGGGAAUUUUGGACAAUGGGCGAAAGCCUGAUCCAGCAAUGCCGCGUGUGUGAAGAAGGCCUUCGGGUUGUAAAGCACUUUUGUCCGGAAAGAAAUCCUUGGCUCUAAUACAGUCGGGGGAUGACGGUACCGGAAGAAUAAGCACCGGCUAACUACGUGCCAGCAGCCGCGGUAAUACGUAGGGUGCAAGCGUUAAUCGGAAUUACUGGGCGUAAAGCGUGCGCAGGCGGUUUGCUAAGACCGAUGUGAAAUCCCCGGGCUCAACCUGGGAACUGCAUUGGUGACUGCAAGGCUAGAGUAUGGCAGAGGGGGGUAGAAUUCCACGUGUAGCAGUGAAAUGCGUAGAGAUGUGGAGGAAUACCGAUGGCGAAGGCAGCCCCCUGGGCCAAUACUGACGCUCAUGCACGAAAGCGUGGGGAGCAAACAGGAUUAGAUACCCUGGUAGUCCACGCCCUAAACGAUGUCAACUAGUUGUUGGGGAUUCAUUUCCUUAGUAACGUAGCUAACGCGUGAAGUUGACCGCCUGGGGAGUACGGUCGCAAGAUUAAAACUCAAAGGAAUUGACGGGGUCAUAGCUGUUUCCU
RNAcentral lists this ribosomal RNA (585 nucleotides) under uncultured bacterium. RNAcentral's name for it is "partial 16S ribosomal RNA". It matches the Rfam family "Bacterial small subunit ribosomal RNA", at positions 355 to 1375 of the family's 1533-position model. The record is from RNAcentral.